Molecule: non-coding RNA, 2738 nt
Organism: Chiloscyllium plagiosum (whitespotted bambooshark)
Lineage: Eukaryota; Metazoa; Chordata; Chondrichthyes; Orectolobiformes; Hemiscylliidae
Source: RefSeq, a predicted model, not a curated record
CUCGACUACUAUAUUCGAACUGUGUUAUGUUUAAUAAUGCCCAUUCUUUCUGGGACAGGAUUAAUUCGGCGCUAAAAGUAAGCGUGAACCAGCUCCCCGAUCGUCAAUGGGUUCCUAGUUCUUUCAUAUGACGAAACUCGAGAGUCGAACCAUUAAUCGAGUCAAACACCAAGUGGCACCGGAUUAUUUAUGUUUCAUCACCCACUUUGUAAUGAAGAGUUUACUUCCUGGUAACUAUAGGCAAUCAUUUUGUUGUAUGGUGCCCUAUUAGAUUAUACAUCAUUUGUUUCUCUUUAAAAAAAUACUAAGCCGUUUUUAGUAUUACUGUGCAAAGUAGAAGCAUUUUAAAUACAAUGUUUGAAGGCUUGCGAAUAGCAAUCCAUACCUUCAAUUUAAUGUAUGUGAAAGAUUGUUUUGGAUCCUAUUUAAAAUAAUAUAGUUGCUUUGGAGCGAUCAAUUAAUCGCCUGAAGCAAAAUGACAUGAAUGGAACACUGACUAUAAAUCAAAGCGAAUUGAUUCGAACAUGUAUCAUUUGUUUUUAUCUGUUUGUGCCAAACAAGAAUUUCGUUGUUUUUUAAUGAAUAUCUAAGGUAUAGCAUGACAAUGUGUGAUAUAAAUAAAAGAUGAAUAAAAUAUAAAGAAGUGUUCUUAGUGUAAUUAUAGAGCAACUGGGUUUUUUCAGAGAAUGUGGUGAAAGGUUACUGAUUAGAUUUGGACCCACCUCAUUUCUUGUGCAGUCAAGGAUAAUUUAUUUGACAGAAAUUAGUUGAAAAUUAAGGCAAUGAGCCCAAAUGAAUGGAGUUUCAUUUUUUCUGAUUGCUCAAUAGAAGUUUUUUUUUCUCUGAAUUAUUUACUUAACAUCUGUGUAAUAUGAUUAGCUUUAUUAAGAACAUGGAUACACUUAAAUAACUGACUAAAACUUGUUUUGAUUUCUAACAUUCUAAACAAUCUAUAAACUUGAAAUGAUUGACCUACUGUAUGGCUUCUUUACUAUUUUGUGUUAUCGAAGCUUUUCCAAUCUUGUGCCGAGGAAACAAACAUAACACUAACGCCUAACAAUAUGUGCUCAUUACAAGUUAAGCUAAAAUUUCAUAAAGCAUGAACUCUACUGAACAGCUGUAAAGCACAUACAACUGAACUUCAAAAAUAGAUGAAUAAGAAAUAAAAGAAAAAUGAUUGUUGUAGAGUUAAAAUAAACUCUAUACUGAAUUCAAAAUGUGGAAUUUAUUAAAUUCAUUUCACAUUUCUAAAAAUAAGUAAUCUAGGUUACAGCUAAUUCAGCAAAAAAACCUUUAAAUCAAAAUUCAACUCUAUUCCCAAGUGUCUCCAGAAAAAGGUUUGUCAUAUGACAUUUAUAACUCCAGUGGUCAAGGCAUUCGCCAACUGUCCUGAGGCUUUCAGACCUGACACUUUCCUGUUCUACCAUUCCAGAGGCAAAUGUGCAGAGUUUGAUAGGAGGCUUCCUUGACAGUCGGCUGAACAUUUUCCAGUAUUCAUUCGUGAUCAUCUCUUAAUAACAUAAUCAUAUAUUGUACUGGAUCAAAAUUGAAAUGUAUGUAUCUCCUCAAUUGUUCAAAACUACUUCUUCUGCUAAGGGAAAUACCUGAUAUUCUAAGAUUAAGCCAGGGCCUGUCAUAAUAUGACUGGCAGCAUCAUCAAAAUAAAUUAAAAUUUCAAGCUGUGACAAAGCUCAAAAUAGACAGGACUGCUGUUGAUCCAAAAAUCUCUCACAGCACGUCGACACUAGUAUCUGGCUCAGAGCUUGGAGAGCUGAAAAAAGAACAUAACUUGUAGACCCAUGAAAGCAAUUAGACCCUUUGUCCAACUGUCAGUCUGUGGAUAUGAAAAGACCAAGUAUUUCAAUUGUUGACUUAAAAUUUUCCUCUAAUUAGUGCAGACUGAUCCCAAAACUUAUUGAAAACAGGACCAGAUGGGCCUAACUUUGGAGGUCAGCUGUUGUGAAAAAUAUGUGUUUCUAGCUUCUUGCCAAGCCAGACCAUGAUUCUUAGAGUGCAGGGUGAGUAAAUGCCAUUCAGCUCAGCAGUAUUUAAUGCCACGUAAGGAAGUUUAACUGGAAGCUCUGCUGACGAUGUUAAACAAGAAGACAUUCCCAGAAGUGUCUGUCAAACAAGAAGUCAAUAAAGAAUCCUAGGAUUAUACAGCUGUGAAAGAGGCUAUUCCACCCAAGGCAACGCCUGGAAAGAGCUGUCUAAUUAAUGCCAUGCCCAGGUUCCUACCCAAAGACUGCAGACAGAGAGAAGCCCUUCCAAGUGCAGGGGGAGAGAACAACUGCAGUUAUAAUGGUUUCCCCUGUAUCCCCCUCACAGCGUGCAGUUGUCUGAUUCCAAUUUGGACCACAUGUCCAGCCAUCAAUCUUUGUCUGCAUUUGAUAGCUUGGCAAUGUCAUUAGAGUUUUCUACUGUGAAAAUUGAUGCGAAGAGUUCAGUAAAAAAGGAGGAGAACAUGCCCGCAUCUACAUCAAUGGAACUGAGGUUGAGAUGGUGGAGAGCGUCAAAUUCCUACGAGUGAUGAUAACCGACAAUCUGUCCCGGACUUCCCAUCCUGGUUACAGGUCAAGAAGGCACAAUGCCUCCUCUUCCUCAGGCGACUCAGGAAAUUCGGCAUGUCCAUGAGGAUCCUCUCCAACGUUUACAGAUAUACGAUUGAAAGCAUACUGUCCGGGUGCAUAAUGGCCUGGUAUGGCAAUUGCUCUGCCCCAGAUGUUAAGAAACUACAG